GACGAACGCUGGCGGCGUGCUUAACACAUGCAAGUCGAACGAUGAAGCCCCUUCGGGUGUGGAUUAGCGGCGGAACGGGGAGUAACACGUUGGCAACCUGCCUUAUAGAGGGGAAUAGCCAUCCGAAAGGAUGAUUAAUACCUCAUAAUAUUGUAGCUUCGCAUGGAGCGACCAUCAAAGGAGUAUACCACGAUAAGAUGGGCACGCGGCGCAUUAGCUAGUUGGUGAGGUAACGGCUCACGAAGGCGACGAUGCGUAGCCGACCUGAGAGGAUGAUCGGCCACAUUGGGACUGAGACACGGCCCAGACUCCUACGGGAGGCAGCAGUGGGGAAUAUUGCACAAUGGGGGAAACCCUGAUGCAGCAACGCCGCGUGAGUGAUGACGGUCUUCAGGUUGUAAAGCUCUGUCUUCAGGGACGAUAAUGACGGUACCUGAGGAAGAAGCCACGGCUAACUACGUGCCAGCAGCCGCAGUAA
This 478-nucleotide ribosomal RNA is filed under the name uncultured bacterium. Its description in RNAcentral is "partial 16S ribosomal RNA". It matches the Rfam family "Bacterial small subunit ribosomal RNA", at positions 28 to 523 of the family's 1533-position model. The record is from RNAcentral.